AAGACCUGUAUCUACAGUUGCUAACGAGUUCUUUGGAAUGAUCGAGCACACUGUAGAGACUGCUCCGGAAACGGAGAGGAAGGUGCAGGCAACGGUAGGUCCGUAUGCUCCGAAUCUUCUGGGCUACACGCGCAUUACAAUGGCAAGGACAAUGGGCUACAACUCCGAAAGGAGAAGUUAAUCCUCGAAACCUUGUCUUAGUCCGGAUUGAGGGUUGCAACUCACCCUCAUGAAGCUGGAAUCUCUAGUAAUCUGGUCUCAACAUGGCCAGGUGAAUAC
Molecule: ribosomal RNA, 279 nt
Filed under: uncultured archaeon
Lineage: Archaea
Description: partial 16S rRNA
Rfam family: Archaeal small subunit ribosomal RNA
Source: RNAcentral